Vidua chalybeata is the source of this 719-nucleotide long non-coding RNA. RefSeq lists it as uncharacterized. Lineage: Eukaryota; Metazoa; Chordata; Aves; Passeriformes; Viduidae. The record is from RefSeq and is a predicted model, not a curated record. The transcript has 2 exons.
GGGGCGGGGCGCGGUCGCCAUGGGAACGCGGGGGCCGCGCUCGCCCCGCCGCCCCCGGGAGGGACCCGCGGCCUUCGCGGCCCUUCCCGUGCCCCUCGCCCGGCUUGCGAAACGGGACCGCUUCCCCUUUCCUGGAGACGCCUUCCCUUUUCUAAGAACGGCCCGGACGCGGGGAAGCGGCGCUGCACGGCCCCUCUCCCACAGAGGGAUGUGGCCGAGGCAGGAGCGGCACCGGCAUCGCCAUGGCAGGGAGGGACUGGGAACGGGAGAGCGUCCAGUGCACCGGGCAGGCAGGAGGACUCAUCCUUUUGCAAAAACCAGCUGUGACUGGUACCACACGGCCUCAGCCUCCCACAGGGGCUGCGACGGGAGCCCAGGCAAAGGCAAACUGUGCGUUUGGCCACAUCAGUCUGGGGAACGUGAGCACCCCAAACUCGGGCUUGGAGCUUGGACAGCACAGCCUCAACCUCUGGAUCCAGCCUCCUCCAGGGAGCUUUGCUUCCCCUGUGGCACCCGCUUGCUGAGGAGCCAAAUGGACAGCACAGCAGGAAGCAGCACUAAACACAACAAGGGAGCCCAGCAUGGAUUGGUUGUAAAACUCCCUGCCUUCGUUUUAUUGCCUUUGGUAAAGCUUGGUAAAUAUUUCUGGGACAGGCAACUCCUUGUCUGGCUUUAAUUACCUGGGCAAAUUUUCCUAAGGAUUAUAUUGACCUCAAAUA